UGCUUUUUGAAUAUUAUAAAAAGUAAUCUCCUGCCCAGUGAUAAUAUUCAACGGCCGCGGUAUCCUAACCGUGCAAAGGUAGCAUAAUAACUUGCCCAUUAAUUGUGGGCUAGAAUGAAUGGGGUAACGAAAUAAGUGCUGUCUCAACAAAUUACAUAAAAACUAUUAUCCAAGUGAAGAAACUUAGAUUUAAAUAGAGGACAAGAAGACCCUAUAGAGCUUUAUUCUUCUUAUAUAAGUUAUAAAAGAAAAAUUCGGUUGGGGCGACCCAGGAUAAAUCAUCCUAAAUUUUAAUGAUAAACACAUCUAUUAAUAGAUCCUUUUAAAGAUCAACGGAUCAAGCUACCUUAGGGAUAACAGGCUAAUCCUACUUUAGAGCUCCUAUCAACAGUAGGGAUUGGCACCUCGAUGUUGGCUUAGAAUAUCUAUAUGGCGCAGAAGUCAUAAAAAGAAGGUUUGUUCAACCUAUAAUAUUC
RNAcentral lists this ribosomal RNA (476 nucleotides) under Marionina cf. riparia PDW-2010. Its description in RNAcentral is "partial 16S ribosomal RNA". It matches the Rfam family "Bacterial large subunit ribosomal RNA", at positions 1816 to 2596 of the family's 2925-position model. Lineage: Eukaryota; Metazoa; Annelida; Clitellata; Enchytraeida; Enchytraeidae. The record is from RNAcentral.